UGUGCCAGCCGCCGCGGUAAUACGAAGGGUGCAAGCGUUACUCGGAAUUACUGGGCGUAAAGCGUGCGUAGGUGGUUCGUUAAGUCUGAUGUGAAAGCCCUGGGCUCAACCUGGGAACUGCAUUGGAUACUGGCGAUCUGGAGUGCGGUAGAGGGUAGCGGAAUUCCCGGUGUAGCAGUGAAAUGCGUAGAUAUCGGGAGGAACAUCCGUGGCGAAGGCGGCUACCUGGACCAGCACUGACACUGAGGCACGAAAGCGUGGGGAGCAAACAGGAUUAG
RNAcentral lists this ribosomal RNA (278 nucleotides) under uncultured Lysobacterales bacterium. RNAcentral's name for it is "uncultured Xanthomonadales bacterium partial 16S ribosomal RNA". It matches the Rfam family "Bacterial small subunit ribosomal RNA", at positions 504 to 781 of the family's 1533-position model. The record is from RNAcentral. Lineage: Bacteria; Pseudomonadati; Pseudomonadota; Gammaproteobacteria; Lysobacterales.